AGAGUUUGAUCUUGGCUCAGAUUGAACGCUGGCGGCAUGCCUUACACAUGCAAGUCGAACGGUAACAGGUCUUCGGAUGCUGACGAGUGGCGAACGGGUGAGUAAUACAUCGGAACGUGCCCGAGAGUGGGGGAUAACGAAGCGAAAGCUUUGCUAAUACCGCAUACGAUCUCAGGAUGAAAGCAGGGGACCGCAAGGCCUUGCGCUCACGGAGCGGCCGAUGGCAGAUUAGGUAGUUGGUGGGAUAAAAGCUUACCAAGCCGACGAUCUGUAGCUGGUCUGAGAGGACGACCAGCCACACUGGGACUGAGACAUGGCCCAGACUCCUACGGGAGGCAGCAGUGGGGAAUUUUGGACAAUGGGCGCAAGCCUGAUCCAGCCAUGCCGCGUGCAGGAUGAAGGCCUUCGGGUUGUAAACUGCUUUUGUACGGAACGAAAAGACUCUGGUUAAUACCUGGGGUCCAUGACGGUACCGUAAGAAUAAGCACCGGCUAACUACGUGCCAGCAGCCGCGGUAAUACGUAGGGUGCGAGCGUUAAUCGGAAUUACUGGGCGUAAAGCGUGCGCAGGCGGUUAUGUAAGACAGAUGUGAAAUCCCCGGGCUCAACCUGGGAACUGCAUUUGUGACUGCGUAGCUAGAGUACGGCAGAGGGGGAUGGAAUUCCGCGUGUAGCAGUGAAAUGCGUAGAUAUGCGGAGGAACACCGAUGGCGAAGGCAAUCCCCUGGGCCUGUACUGACGCUCAUGCACGAAAGCGUGGGGAGCAAACAGG
RNAcentral lists this ribosomal RNA (771 nucleotides) under uncultured beta proteobacterium. RNAcentral describes it as "bacterial SSU rRNA". It matches the Rfam family "Bacterial small subunit ribosomal RNA", at positions 8 to 776 of the family's 1533-position model. The record is from RNAcentral. Lineage: Bacteria; Pseudomonadati; Pseudomonadota; Betaproteobacteria.